This 440-nucleotide ribosomal RNA is filed under the name uncultured bacterium. RNAcentral's name for it is "partial 16S ribosomal RNA". It matches the Rfam family "Bacterial small subunit ribosomal RNA", at positions 338 to 795 of the family's 1533-position model. The record is from RNAcentral.
CCUACGGGAGGCAGCAGUGGGGGAUAUUGCACAAUGGGGGGAACCCUGAUGCAGCGACGCCGCGUGGGUGAAGAAGCGCCUCGGCGCGUAAAGCCCUUUCAGCAGGGAAGAAAAUGACGGUACCUGACGAAUAAGCCCCGGCUAACUACGUGCCAGCAGCCGCGGUAAUACGUAGGGGGCAAGCGUUAUCCGGAUUUACUGGGUGUAAAGGGGGCGCAGACGGCGAUGCAAGCCAGGAGUGAAAGCCCGGGGCCCAACCCCUGGACUGCUCUUGGAACUGCGUGGCUGGAGUGCAGGAGGGGCAGGCGGAAUGCCUGGUGGAGCGGUGUAAGGAGUAGAUAUCAGGAGGAACACCGGUGGCGAAGGCGGCCUGCUGGACUGCAACUGACGUUGAGGCCCGAAAGCGUGGGGAGCAAACAGGAUUAGAUACCCCGGUAGUC